This is an RNA transcript of Trifolium pratense (red clover), 3712 nucleotides long. It is a transcript of the gene named pentatricopeptide repeat-containing protein At1g12300, mitochondrial-like, with no coding region annotated. The record is from RefSeq and is a predicted model, not a curated record. The transcript is spliced from 3 exons. NCBI's taxonomy places the organism in Eukaryota, Viridiplantae, Streptophyta, Magnoliopsida, Fabales, Fabaceae.
CUCUCUUAAUCCAACCACACACUUGAUUCUUCCCUUUCUUAAUCCCCGGCGCACCAACAUUAAUUUCAUUCUAGCAAUGUUGUCGUUUUCAACCAAAAAGUUUCAGAGGUACUAUGCUUCUUCUAUCCCUCUUUUUCAACUUCUAAACCCUAAUUUCAUUCCUUCUUCAACAAUGCUAUACUCUCAAUUACACAACCAACAAGAAGAUCAUGAUAAUCUUGUUUCUUCAUUCAAUCAAUUACUACUUCAGAAUCCAACCCCACCCAUCAUUCAUUUUGGUAAGAUUUUAGGUUCUCUUGUUAAGGCCAAUCAUUACUAUACUGUUAUUUCACUUCAUCGUCAUAUGGAAUUAAAUGGAAUUGCUUCAGAUUUAGUCACUUUGAGCAUCUUGAUCAAUUGCUUUUCUCAAUUGGGUUUAAACUCUCUUUCCUUUUCUGUAUUUGCCAACAUUCUCAAAAAGGGUUAUGACCCAGAUGUCAUAACUUUGACUACACUCAUCAAGGGUCUUUGUCUCAAAGGUCAGAUCCAUAAAGCAUUGAACUUUCAUGACAACUUGGUAGCACAGGGAUUUCAGUUGAAUCAAGUUAGUUACGGGACCUUAAUCAAUGGGUUAUGUAAAGUAGGAGAAACAAGUGCAGCCUUGCAGUUGCUGAGACGAGUUGAUGGGAAACUGGUUCGACCUUGUGUGGUAAUGUACAGUGCAAUUAUUGACAGUAUGUGCAAAGAUAAACUUGUUGAUGAUGCUUUUGAUUUAUAUUCUGAAAUGGUCGCUAAGAGAAUUUAUCCCAAUGUUGUCACUUAUAGUACUUUAAUUAGUGGCUUUUGCAUUGUCGGUAAAUUGAAAGAAGCAAUUGGGCUUUUUAAUAAAAUGGUUUUGGAGAACAUAAACCCGAAUGCGUAUACGUUUAAUAUAUUGGUUGAUGCAUUUUGUAAGGAAGGAAAAGUGAAAGAAGCUAAUAAUGUGUUUGCUGUGAUGAUCAGAAAAGGUGUUAAACCUAAUGUUGUUACAUAUAACUCUUUAAUGGAUGGAUAUUGCUUAGUUAAACAAGUGAACAAGGCCAAGGAUAUAUUCAAUAUCAUGGCCCAAAGUGGAGUGACUCCUGAAGUUCGGAGCUAUAAUAUUAUGAUUAAUGGAUUUUGUAAGGUUAAAAUGGUGGAUGAAGCCUUAAUUCUCUUCAAAGAAAUGCGUUGUAGAAACAUUAUUCCUAAUGUGAUAGCUUACAGUUCCCUUAUUGAUGGUUUGGGAAAAUCAGGGAGAAUCUCUCAUGCUUUGAAGCUUGUUGAUGAGAUGCAUGAUAGAGGUCAACCACCUGAUAUAGUUACCUACAAUUCUAUAUUUGAUGCUUUAUGCAAAACCCAUCAUGUUGAAAAGGCGAUUGCAUUAUUAACAAAAGUUAAGGACGAGGGUAUUCAACCAAAUAUGAACACAUAUACUAUUCUUAUUCACGGAUUGUGUAAAGUUGGAAGAGUAGACGACGCGAGAAAUGUUUUUGAAGAUCUUUCAGUCAAAGGCUACAAUCUACAUGUUUAUACAUAUACUGUUAUGAUCCAAGGGUUUUGCGACAAGGGCUUGUUUGAUGAAGCGUUGGCCUUGCUAUCAAAAAUGAAAGACAAUAGUUGCAUUCCAGACGCUGCAACUUAUGAAAUAAUUAUCUGUUCUCUGUUUAAUAAAGGUGAAAAUGAUAAGGCAGAGAAACUUCUACGUGAAAUUAUCGCAAAAGGUCUAUUGUAAGAUUGAAACUAGGAAACUUGAGUCAAAGAAUCAUUUUGGUGGAGUGAUCUGGUAAAUUUUAAUACAACAACUUUGGUAGGUUUUAUAUCAGGAAUUAAUAAUGGAAUUACGGAGAAACUUUUCGCUACUAUAGAAAGUGAAUUGGGACAGUGCUGGUUUAAGUGAAACUUUGACUUUGUGAUUCCAAAGACUUGAAUUGUACACAACAGGUACAAGCUUGGAUCUUUAUAAUUACUGAUUUUGCAUUUUUGGAUGAGUAUUUAUCUUCAAUUUUGGUUUAUAUUAUUUAUGGAACAUGUAUUUAUAGUACAAGCUUAGAUGUAUGCUAUUCUAGAACAUGUAUUCCAGGGCCCUUCUCCUUCAUAUACAGCCGUGUCAUUCUGAGAUGAAUGCUGAUUUUGCACCCUCAUGCAUAAAAUUCAUGUCAUGGUUGCACACAUGAACUGCGACGAGAUUGGGGACAAAGUGCAAGUACGAUGUGCCGCCAAGACUUCUGUGUGCAACAAACCUGCUGUCAAGACCUUCAUCUUGUUGAACCUGAGUGUGACGAAAGUACUGUGGUCUGAAAUCUGAGUUGUGAGUUUGAUAUUUGAUUCUGUGUUCUUCCAUUUAUUCAACUGACUUCUUGAAGUUGUUGAUAUUACGAGUUUGUUAUUCUUGAUGUGAUUUCGUGAUCUGAGUAUGAUGUUCUGAAAAGACAAUAUGAAACUAUCAACUUUGAUAAUACAAAAGUUUGUACUGCAGUUUUUCUUCUUAGUUAUGAUACAAUUGGAUGAUGCUUAAAAAUAUUUGUUUUCUUUGAUACAAAUAUGGUAACUACGAAAGGUCAGAACUUAAAUACACCUUGAAUACAAGUGUUGAGAUGUAGGAAGCAUAAUAUUUUUUCUGCAUAAUUAUGCAGCAGCCUAUAUAUUUAAAGGGUCUGUUUGGUUGGAGACUUUUGAAGGGAGUGGAUAUAAUAUUUUAAAUGAAAUGCCUAUUAGAAUUAGGAGUUGGGUCUAACUCAUCCUUACAAAAUCGGCUUGUAAGGUGAGGAUUGCCUCUAAUUUAUAAACACAUAUUCAGGCCAUCUCACAACCGAUGUGAGACUUCUUAACACACCCCUCACGCCCAACACUAUUGGGCUUGGUGCAUGAAUAUAAACGCUAGGUGGCCCGAUAGUGGAAACCUAAUAACAGAUGGCCCAGUGGAUCCUGUAGAGGCUCUGAUACCAGGAAAUUUUUUUUUCUACCCCUACAAUUAACCCUGUACCCCUACGUAUUUAAUAAAAUUCCCAUUCCACCCUUAUCUUAUUAUAUUAUUUUUCCAAAAGUGUUCCGGGAAAUGCAUAGAAAGUGUUCAGGAAUAGAGAAAAAUGAACUACUUGGCCGGAGAAUCGGAGAAGAAGACUAUGGCAAACAUGACCGGAGAAGCAGAUUCGCGUGUACGAUUGUGCUAUGCAGCGGCACUCAGAAGAACAGAUGCGGGGGCGCGGUGUUUUUUCUCAACAGAGAAGAAGGCUGUAAUGAACACGAUCGUUACUGUAGUUCGCGUGCACUGUAGGAGUGGUGCGGCGGCGCGAGUAGCGGUGGACUGUCGAAGAAGAUGAACAGUAGUGGAAAAUUUUGCAUACAGGAAAUUUUUUUGUCCAAAUCUGAACACUUUCUAUUAAUUGGAAUAAGAUAAGGGUAAAAAUGGAAUUUUUAUAAAUGUGUAGGGGUACAAGGUUAAUUGUUGGGGUAGAAAAAAAUAAUUUCCUGAUACCAUCUUAGAAUUAGGAGUUGGGCAUAACUCAUCCUUACAAAACCAGCUUGUAAGGUGAGGAUUGCCUCUAGUUUAUAAACACAUAUUUAGGUCAUCUCACAACCGAUGUGGGACUUCUUAACAGCCCCUUGGAUUAGUUGGUCGUAGUCUCCUAGGGCCGGAAUUUUUAUUUAAAUAAAGUGUAUUUGUAGGAUGUUAAAAAAUAAUUUAUUAUAUGGACAAAAUUAAUUGCCUUUA